UACGUAGGCAGCGAGCGUUGUUCGGAGUUACUGGGCGUAAAGAGUGCGUAGGCGGUGUUCCAAGUCUGUUGUGAAAUCUCCCGGCUCAACUGGGAGGGUGCGGCGGAAACUGGGACGCUGGAGUACGGGAGAGGUAAGCGGAAUUCCUGGUGUAGCGGUGAAAUGCGUAGAUAUCAGGAGGAACACCUGCGGUGUAGACGGCUUACUGGACCGUAACUGACGCUGAGACGCGAAAGCGUGGGGAGCGAACAGG
This 253-nucleotide ribosomal RNA is filed under the name uncultured bacterium. RNAcentral's name for it is "partial 16S ribosomal RNA". It matches the Rfam family "Bacterial small subunit ribosomal RNA", at positions 524 to 776 of the family's 1533-position model. The record is from RNAcentral.